UCAGAGCUUGCCACAAGGAAGCAGCCCUGCUGACACCUUGAUCGUGGACUGGUCGCUACCGGAACUUACCGAACACAGAUAAACAUUCGGAUCAAUAAUCCAACUUUUGAAAGUGUAUUUUAUUUAAAAUGCAGAAAAAACGAAAGGACACGCAGGAAAUCGAAAGCACACUGCUCGCAGCCUGGGGAAGUCCUCCGGCUCCGUCCACCCCGGGGGGCGGGCGUGGGGACCCGCCGAGGGCGCGCCGGGGGCGGCCUGCGCUCGACCCCCGCCGGAGCGUCCCGGGAGACCCAGCGCGUCUGGAGCGCGGACGCGGCCCUCCUCUUCCUCCCUCUCCCUCCGCGGAGUCCCUGGACCCCGAUCCCGGAUUCCCUCCUCCGCAGCUUGGCGCUCUCCCGAGCCGGAGCCGGAGCCCGAGCCGGAGUCGCGGCGCGGCCGGGCCGCCGCGUCAGAG
Molecule: long non-coding RNA, 454 nt
Filed under: Equus asinus (donkey)
Lineage: Eukaryota; Metazoa; Chordata; Mammalia; Perissodactyla; Equidae
Description: lncRNA (ENSEASG00005033473.1)
Source: RNAcentral